GGUUAAGCGACUAAGCGUACACGGUGGAUGCCCUGGCAGUCAGAGGCGAUGAAGGACGUGCUAAUCUGCGAUAAGCGUCGGUAAGGUGAUAUGAACCGUUAUAACCGGCGAUUUCCGAAUGGGGAAACCCAGUGUGAUUCGUCACACUAUCAUUAACUGAAUCCAUAGGUUAAUGAGGCGAACCGGGGGAACUGAAACAUCUAAGUACCCCGAGGAAAAGAAAUCAACCGAGAUUCCCCCAGUAGCGGCGAGCGAACGGGGAGCAGCCCAGAGCCUGAAUCAGUGUGUGUGUUAGUGGAAGCGUCUGGAAAGGCGCGCGAUACAGGGUGACAGCCCCGUACACAAAAAUGCACAUGCUGUGAGCUCGAUGAGUAGGGCGGGACACGUGGUAUCCUGUCUGAAUAUGGGGGGACCAUCCUCCAAGGCUAAAUACUCCUGACUGACCGAUAGUGAACCAGUACCGUGAGGGAAAGGCGAAAAGAACCCCGGCGAGGGGAGUGAAAAAGAACCUGAAACCGUGUACGUACAAGCAGUGGGAGCCUC
This 543-nucleotide ribosomal RNA is filed under the name Escherichia coli. RNAcentral's name for it is "partial 23S ribosomal RNA". It matches the Rfam family "Bacterial large subunit ribosomal RNA", at positions 1 to 583 of the family's 2925-position model. Lineage: Bacteria; Pseudomonadati; Pseudomonadota; Gammaproteobacteria; Enterobacterales; Enterobacteriaceae. The record is from RNAcentral.